RNAcentral lists this long non-coding RNA (437 nucleotides) under Gallus gallus (chicken). Lineage: Eukaryota; Metazoa; Chordata; Aves; Galliformes; Phasianidae. The record is from RNAcentral.
GGGCAGCAGCCUGCACAGGGAGCACAGGGACCGGCACUGACCAGGGCAGCUCCGGAGAUGGGCUGGUGCCGGGGUUUGCCCAGGAAGGCUGGGAGGAAAGCAACUUCAGGUCUCUGGUGCACAAAGCUGAGCCAUGAGACUGGCCUGAGGGUUUGCUGUUGCAAAAGCUGUGUAGGAGUGCAGGGUCCUUCCUGGAUGGAGGCUACAGCAAGCAGCUGAGCUGUGCCGAGUUUCACAGCUGUGUUGUGCAAUGGUCAAAGCCAAUCCCAGUUCCACCGCUCUUUGCAUGGGAGCUGCGUGGAAAUAUACGAGCAUGGCAGAAAUGAGUCUGACGCACUCCCUAAAGGGGCAAGAGCAUUGUACAAGAAAGGCUGAACUGAUGCUUGGAUUUCAUGUGAACAUCUAUUUAAGCCUCUGAGGACAUUGCCAGGAGCCAC